Oreochromis niloticus (Nile tilapia) is the source of this 1216-nucleotide long non-coding RNA. RefSeq lists it as uncharacterized. The transcript has 2 exons. The record is from RefSeq and is a predicted model, not a curated record. NCBI's taxonomy places the organism in Eukaryota, Metazoa, Chordata, Actinopteri, Cichliformes, Cichlidae.
AACGUGGCUUCACUUCACAUCAGCCACGCCGCUUUGCUAGCUAAAACACCGGUGUCGGCACAUAAGGACGCUGUCAUAGCCUGUCAACAACGUUGAUUAGCUGCGUAUGUAGGAAUGUGAAUCGCGUGAUUGGCUGGACUGUGGGAUAAGGUGGCAUCGUUCUAAUCCCAUACUGGAGCAGCCAGUCACUUACUGACUAACACUGCAAAACAGAAAUGUUAACGUAUUUAUUUUAAUUUCAAUUCAGGUUAGAAUUUUUUUUGUGCACAACGCAGAUUUUUUUCUGCGCAGAGACUGUGCCAGCAUUGCGCAAUUGCGCAUGCGUGCAGCUUAGAGGGAUCAUUGGUUAGCAGUGUAUAAACGAUAGUUUAGCAUAUAUUAGCACAGGUAUCAAUAAAGGACUACUGUAUUAAACACUUUUACUAACCGCAUGCAGAUGGACAGGCGCUCUGCAGGUGGGAUUGAGUGCCUGAAGUUGGUGUCUAGGCGGGCGAUGCUUGGACCAACGCGGGACAGCACCAGAGGUGGGUAGUAACGAGCUACAUUUACUCCGUUACAUUUACUUGAGUAAGUUUUUGAAAAAAAUGUACUUUUUAAGUACCUUUUUUGCACGAUACUUUUUACUUUUACUUGAGUACAUUUGUGAAGAAGAAACGGUACUUUUACUCCGCUACAUUUGCAAAAUUCGACUCGUUACUUUUUUAAUAAUUAAUUUCACACAUUGGAUAAUACUACUAAUAUAAAUUAUGGAUCAUGCCGCCACUGGAGCUACCGGUAACUCUUUCACCAAUCAGACGUAGCCAUGCGGUCACAUGACCAGAUAUAAAAUGGCAGGCCGAGUAGCCCAAGCCUUUUCAACUUCCAAAGACGGACAGAAGAAAUACAUCAAAAAAUGGCAACCGUCUCCGCUAACACUGAACAGGACAAACACCCUUGGCUGCAUAUGCAAAGCAUGUUUCGCUUUAAAGGAGUACAAAAGGACAGCUAUAUAAUGCGAUGUCUUCUGUGUGAGCCAAAGCAAACCGACGUCUCAGCGUACAAAAACUCAACAUCUAACCUGAGGAAACAUGUUGCGAGGGUUCACUCCAACAAAUUGAGGAUGUAUACGGAAUUAAUGGACAGCCACAGAAAACGAAAGUCAUCCUCUUCUACCGAGCCACCUAUGAAGAACGCAAAACUUACAGACUCUUUCACAGGCUCUAGGUGAAUAACACAA